UGCUGGUGCCUUCUCUCGUGCUUGGUGGCGUUGGAAUCACAAAUAUGUCCAACCAAAACGUGCUGGCAUUGCUCCAUUCUUCCAAAUCACAGCCGCUGCUAUGACUUUCUUCUAUGUUAUCAACUAUGGAAAAUUGAAGCACCACAGAAACUACAA
This 156-nucleotide long non-coding RNA is filed under the name Megaselia scalaris. RNAcentral's name for it is "sphinx conserved region 2". It matches the Rfam family "Sphinx conserved region 2". The record is from RNAcentral. Lineage: Eukaryota; Metazoa; Arthropoda; Insecta; Diptera; Phoridae.